This 253-nucleotide ribosomal RNA is filed under the name uncultured bacterium. RNAcentral describes it as "partial 16S ribosomal RNA". It matches the Rfam family "Bacterial small subunit ribosomal RNA", at positions 524 to 776 of the family's 1533-position model. The record is from RNAcentral.
UACGAAGGGGGCUAGCGUUGCUCGGAAUCACUGGGCGUAAAGCGCACGUAGGCGGAUUGUUAAGUCAGGGGUGAAAUCCUGGAGCUCAACUCCAGAACUGCCUUUGAUACUGAAAGUCUUGAGUAUGGGAGAGGUGAGUGGAACUGCGAGUGUAGAGGUGAAAUUCGUAGAUAUUCGCAAGAACACCAGUGGCGAAGGCGGCUCACUGGCCCAUUACUGACGCUGAGGUGCGAAAGCGUGGGGAGCAAACAGG